UCCGAACUCAGAAGUGAAACGAAAUAGCGCCGAUGGUAGUGUGGGGUUUCCCCAUGUGAGAGUAGGACAUCGCCAGGCU
RNAcentral lists this ribosomal RNA (79 nucleotides) under Vibrio parahaemolyticus EKP-008. RNAcentral also lists the same sequence under 1 other name. Lineage: Bacteria; Pseudomonadati; Pseudomonadota; Gammaproteobacteria; Vibrionales; Vibrionaceae. The record is from RNAcentral.